UUCCAACAACUUCUCACCAACCUAACACAAGAUCAUUCAAGAGAGAAGUAAGAGAAAGAGGUUCAAGGGAGUUAGUGCAUUCAAGUGAAGAAAUCAAGUGCUUUCAAGCUUCCCAACUGAUUUCGUGCUCAACUACUCUCUCCCGCUCGGCAUUCAAAGCUCACAUUCAAGACAACGCGAUCCACAUCGGAAGAACCACCAUUUCCCACGCUUCCAACGGCUAAAAGGGUUCUUCCGGGUUUUGUUAUUUCUCACUGUUUUAUCUGCUUAUUUAGAGCUUUCAAAUCUUUUGUAAAACCUUUGGUUAUUGUGCUUGUUCCAGUCAAGGGACUUGGAACAAGGGAAAGGCGUCCCAAGCCUAGGUGAAAUUGGGGGUUGUAGGGUUCGUUGUU
This 392-nucleotide long non-coding RNA is filed under the name Phoenix dactylifera (date palm). Its description in RNAcentral is "long non-coding RNA (PDAC_LNC011638)". Lineage: Eukaryota; Viridiplantae; Streptophyta; Magnoliopsida; Arecales; Arecaceae. The record is from RNAcentral.